GAUGAACGCUGGCGGCGUGCCUAAUACAUGCAAGUCGAGCGAACAGACGAGGAGCUUGCUCCUCUGACGUUAGCGGCGGACGGGUGAGUAACACGUGGAUAACCUACCUAUAAGACUGGGAUAACUUCGGGAAACCGGCGCUAAUACCGGAUGAUAUAUUGAACCGCAUUGUUCAAUAGUGAAAGACGGUUUUGCUGUCACUUAUAGAUGGAUCCGCGCCGCAUUAGCUAGUUGGUAAGGUAACGGCUUACCAAGGCAACCAUGCGUAGCCGACCUGAGAGGGUGAUCGGCCACACUGGAACUGAGACACGGUCCAGACUCCUACGGGAGGCAGCAGUAGGGAAUCGUCCGCAAUGGGCGAAAGCCUGACGGAGCAACGCCGCGUGAGUGAUGAAGGUCUUCGGAUCGUAAAACUCUGUUAUUAGGGAAGAACAAAUGUGUAAGUAACUAUGCACGUCUUGACGGUACCUAAUCAGAAAGCCACGGCUAACUACGUG
This 497-nucleotide ribosomal RNA is filed under the name uncultured bacterium. RNAcentral's name for it is "partial 16S ribosomal RNA". It matches the Rfam family "Bacterial small subunit ribosomal RNA", at positions 28 to 507 of the family's 1533-position model. The record is from RNAcentral.